RNAcentral lists this ribosomal RNA (262 nucleotides) under Enterococcus durans. RNAcentral describes it as "partial 16S ribosomal RNA". Lineage: Bacteria; Bacillati; Bacillota; Bacilli; Lactobacillales; Enterococcaceae. The record is from RNAcentral.
GGAGCUUGCUCCACCGGAAAAAGAAGAGUGGCGAACGGGUGAGUAACACGUGGGUAACCUGCCCAUCAGAAGGGGAUAACACUUGGAAACAGGUGCUAAUACCGUAUAACAAUCGAAACCGCRUGGUUUUGAUUUGAARGGCGCUUUCGGGUGUCGYUGAUGGAUGGACCCGCGGUGCAUUAGCUAGKUGGUGAGGUAACGGSUCACCAAGGCYACGAUGCAUAGCCGAYCUGAGAGGGUGAUCGGCCACAUUGGGACUGAG